Molecule: ribosomal RNA, 455 nt
Filed under: uncultured Actinomycetes bacterium
Lineage: Bacteria; Bacillati; Actinomycetota; Actinomycetes
Description: bacterial SSU rRNA
Rfam family: Bacterial small subunit ribosomal RNA
Source: RNAcentral
GGCGAACGGGUGAGUAACGCGUGAGCAAUCUACCUUAGUUACAGGGAUAGCCCGAGGAAACUCGGAUUAAUACCUGAUAUUCUUUAUUUCUCGCAUGAGAAUAAAAGGAAAGGUCAGCCGAACUAAGAUGAGCUCGCGUUCUAUCAGCUAGUUGGUGAGGUAAAAGCUUACCAAGGCUACGACGGAUAGCUGGUCUGAGAGGACGAUCAGCCACACUGGGACUGAGACACGGCCCAGACUCCUACGGGAGGCUGCAGCAGGGAAUAUUGUGCAAUGAACGAAAGUUUGACACAGCGACACCGCGUGUGGGAUGACGGAUCUAGGUUUGUAAACCACUUUCAGGAGGGAAGAAAAUGACGGUACCUCCACAAGAAGCCCCGGCCAACUACGUGCCAGCAGCCGCGGUAAUACGUAGGGGGCGAGCGUUGUCCGGAUUUAUUGGGCGUAAAGAGCUC